GAUGAAGAACGUAGCGAAAUGCGAUAAGUAAUGUGAAUUGCAGAAUUCAGUGAAUCAUCGAAUCUUUGAACGCACAUUGCGCCCGCCAGUAUUCUGGCGGGCAUGCCUGUCCGAGCGUCAUUUCAACCCUCGAACCCCUCCGGGGGGUCGGCGUUGGGGAUCGGCCCUUUACGGGGCCGGCCCCGAAAUACAGUGGCGGUCUCGCCGCAGCCUCUCCUGCGCAGUAGUUUGCACACUCGCAUCGGGAGCGCGGCGCGUCCACAGCCGUUAAACACCCCAAACUUCUGAAAUGUUGACCUCGGAUCAGGUAGGAAUACCCGCUGAACUUAAGCAUAUCAAUAAGCGGCGGA
This 350-nucleotide unclassified non-coding RNA is filed under the name soil metagenome. RNAcentral describes it as "partial contains 5.8S ribosomal RNA, internal transcribed spacer 2, and large subunit ribosomal RNA". The stretch from base 1 to 120 matches the Rfam family "5.8S ribosomal RNA", at positions 35 to 154 of the family's 154-position model. The record is from RNAcentral.